RNAcentral lists this ribosomal RNA (251 nucleotides) under uncultured Actinomycetales bacterium. RNAcentral's name for it is "partial 16S ribosomal RNA". It matches the Rfam family "Bacterial small subunit ribosomal RNA", at positions 82 to 334 of the family's 1533-position model. The record is from RNAcentral. Lineage: Bacteria; Bacillati; Actinomycetota; Actinomycetes; Actinomycetales.
UUGGGGUGCUCGAGUGGCGAACGGGUGAGUAACACGUGAGUAACCUGCCCUUGACUUUGGGAUAACUUCAGGAAACUGGGGCUAAUACCGGAUAGGAGCUCCUGCUGCAUGGUGGGGGUUGGAAAGUUUCGGCGGUUGGGGAUGGACUCGCGGCUUAACAGCUUGUUGGUGGGGUAGUGGCUUACCAAGGCUUUGACGGGUAGCCGGCCUGAGAGGGUGACCGGCCACAUUGGGACUGAGAUACGGCCCAG